RNAcentral lists this ribosomal RNA (1371 nucleotides) under uncultured beta proteobacterium. RNAcentral describes it as "bacterial SSU rRNA". It matches the Rfam family "Bacterial small subunit ribosomal RNA", at positions 27 to 1394 of the family's 1533-position model. The record is from RNAcentral. Lineage: Bacteria; Pseudomonadati; Pseudomonadota; Betaproteobacteria.
GAUUGAACGCUGGCGGCAUGCCUUACACAUGCAAGUCGAACGGCAGCACGGGUGCUUGCACCUGGUGGCGAGUGGCGAACGGGUGAGUAAUACAUCGGAACAUGUCCUGUAGUGGGGGAUAGCCCGGCGAAAGCCGGAUUAAUACCGCAUACGAUCUACGGAUGAAAGCGGGGGACCUUCGGGCCUCGCGCUAUAGGGUUGGCCGAUGGCUGAUUAGCUAGUUGGUGGGGUAAAGGCCUACCAAGGCGACGAUCAGUAGCUGGUCUGAGAGGACGACCAGCCACACUGGGACUGAGACACGGCCCAGACUCCUACGGGAGGCAGCAGUGGGGAAUUUUGGACAAUGGGCGAAAGCCUGAUCCAGCAAUGCCGCGUGUGUGAAGAAGGCCUUCGGGUUGUAAAGCACUUUUGUCCGGAAAGAAAUCCUUGGCUCUAAUACAGUCGGGGGAUGACGGUACCGGAAGAAUAAGCACCGGCUAACUACGUGCCAGCAGCCGCGGUAAUACGUAGGGUGCGAGCGUUAAUCGGAAUUACUGGGCGUAAAGCGUGCGCAGGCGGUUUGCUAAGACCGAUGUGAAAUCCCCGGGCUCAACCUGGGAACUGCAUUGGUGACUGGCAGGCUAGAGUAUGGCAGAGGGGGGGUAGAAUUCCACGUGUAGCAGUGAAAUGCGUAGAGAUGUGGAGGAAUACCGAUGGCGAAAGGCAGCCCCCUGGGCCAAUACUGACGCUCAUGCACGAAAGCGUGGGGGAGCAAACAGGAUUAGAUACCCUGGUAGUCCACGCCCUAAACGAUGUCAACUAGUUGUUGGGGAUUCAUUUCCUUAGUAACGUAGCUAACGCGUGAAGUUGACCGCCUGGGGAGUACGGUCGCAAGAUUAAAACUCAAAGGAAUUGACGGGGACCCGCACAAGCGGUGGAUGAUGUGGAUUAAUUCGAUGCAACGCGAAAAACCUUACCUACCCUUGACAUGGUCGGAAUCCUGCUGAGAGGUGGGAGUGCUCGAAAGAGAACCGGCGCACAGGUGCUGCAUGGCUGUCGUCAGCUCGUGUCGUGAGAUGUUGGGUUAAGUCCCGCAACGAGCGCAACCCUUGUCCUUAGUUGCUACGCAAGAGCACUCUAAGGAGACUGCCGGUGACAAACCGGAGGAAGGUGGGGAUGACGUCAAGUCCUCAUGGCCCUUAUGGGUAGGGCUUCACACGUCAUACAAUGGUCGGAACAGAGGGUUGCCAACCCGCGAGGGGGAGCUAAUCCCAGAAAACCGAUCGUAGUCCGGAUUGCACUCUGCAACUCGAGUGCAUGAAGCUGGAAUCGCUAGUAAUCGCGGAUCAGCAUGCCGCGGUGAAUACGUUCCCGGGUCUUGUACACACCGCC